GUAGAGACAAUGUGCAUGUAUAGAGCAUGCGUGGGUGCGUAGGCGCAAGGGCGCUUGAUGGUGCACUUUGUACUUCCGAACCAUCACGAGAGCAAGGGCGCACUUCCUAAAGGAGAUGAGAGCAAGGGCGCACUUCCGAAAGGAGAUUUGUAACAACAGCCAUCACGAGAGUUAAAGUGCAUGUAACUUGUAGCCGUUGAUGGUGCAUGUAACCAUCACUACGAGUGAGUUAAGGGGCUAUAUGUAACUUGUAGCUGUUGGUGGUGGUUACAUAUAAUGGGGCUUCUAUCCCGAGAUGAUAUUUAGAACAAAGAAAAAAACCAUAACUCUCUCUCUGUACUCGAUUUUCUCUCUUUCUCUAUCUAAUACAACAAGACACUGGUAUCUCACAUGUGGGUUCUAAGCUUGGG
This 410-nucleotide long non-coding RNA is filed under the name Amborella trichopoda. RNAcentral's name for it is "long non-coding RNA (ATRI_LNC001823)". Lineage: Eukaryota; Viridiplantae; Streptophyta; Magnoliopsida; Amborellales; Amborellaceae. The record is from RNAcentral.